RNAcentral lists this long non-coding RNA (256 nucleotides) under Capsella rubella. RNAcentral's name for it is "long non-coding RNA (CRUB_LNC003704)". Lineage: Eukaryota; Viridiplantae; Streptophyta; Magnoliopsida; Brassicales; Brassicaceae. The record is from RNAcentral.
UCGUUUAGACUUUUUAACCCCAACACUCUCUUCUUCUUCCUUCUUCCCCUUCUCUCUCUCUCACUCUCAAUUCUAGAGAGAGAAGUACUCUUACAAGAUUUGUCUUAUUUAUGCGAUAAGAACCACAACAAUUCCCUCUUAUCAAAAUCUAUCUCUCUCUCUCUCUCUCUCUCUCUCUCUCUCUCUCUCUCUCUCUUUCUGACACUUCAAAACUUCUUUUUCCAGAAUUACCCAGUUGGAAAAUUUUCAAUCUUUU